AAUUCAACAUCGAGGUCAUAAUCUUUUUCUUUUAUAAGAACUUUAAGAAAAAAUUGUGCUGUUAUCCCUACGGUAACUUGGUUGAUUCUCAGAUUGAGGAUAAAGAGAGAUGGAAGAAAAAAGAUUAAGUUUUUUUACCGCCCCAGUUCAACAAAAGUAAAGUUCGAUAGGGUCUUGUCGUCCUUCUUUGUUAUUCAAGUCUUUUUACUUGAAUGGAAAGUUUAAAUGGUUCAGGUAAUAAAGAAAUUUAUAUGUCAAACCUUUCAUUCUAGCCUUCAAUUAAAAGGCAAAUGAUUACGCUACCUUAGCACAAGAAAAUUGCGGCUAUUAAAUAAGUCAUUGAGCAGGCCCUACUGAAAAUUAAGACAUUCAGAAAUGUUUUUGAUAAACAGACAAUAAAUGUAUAGGCCGAGUUCAUAACCUGAAUGUAGAUUUCUGUCGAUGAAGAGAAUCAAUGAAAAUAGGUUAGAUAAAUUUUACUAAUAAGAUCAUUAUGGAAAUUUUUAGAAAGGCUCCUUUUAAAAAAAUUCUUGUAGAGGGAUGGAGCAGUUUUUAAACCAAGGGGACACUAUUAAUCCUGAAGUUUGAGAAGUUACAAGAUGGACAAUUUAUUAAAAAGAUUAUCCCUUUUAAAAUUUUAGUAUUGUUACUUUCAAAGAGAACCAGAUAUUAUGGAAUGCGAAUGAAAUUUCAUCUCUAUACCCAUUUUAGAAAACUUUAUGAAACAAGCUUGAUAAAUGGAAAUAGAUCAUUUCGAUUUCGGGAGUAUUUAAUAAAAAAGGGGGGUUGAUUUUCCCUGAUACUAAAGGUACAUAACUUUUCUAUUGUACAAUUGAAGAUACUUCCCUUACGGUAAAGUAACACCAAGAAAAGAACAGAAAUGAAAGAAUAUUUAUUUAAAUAAAUGUUCUGGGCAGGGGAAGU
Molecule: ribosomal RNA, 924 nt
Filed under: Aptostichus atomarius
Lineage: Eukaryota; Metazoa; Arthropoda; Arachnida; Araneae; Euctenizidae
Description: partial 16S ribosomal RNA
Source: RNAcentral